Non-coding RNA from Caenorhabditis elegans, 21 nucleotides. NCBI's taxonomy places the organism in Eukaryota, Metazoa, Nematoda, Chromadorea, Rhabditida, Rhabditidae. The record is from Ensembl.
UUUCUAUCGUGUUGUAAUUUC